RNA transcript from Venturia canescens, 1447 nucleotides. It is a transcript of the gene named transmembrane protein 234 homolog, with no coding region annotated. NCBI's taxonomy places the organism in Eukaryota, Metazoa, Arthropoda, Insecta, Hymenoptera, Ichneumonidae. The record is from RefSeq and is a predicted model, not a curated record. The transcript has 5 exons.
UCAAGUAUUGGGAAUGUCGUAAGCGGCUCAAUUUUUGCUGGAUUGCAAUCAGUCGGUGCAACUGGCACAGGGUCUAUAGUGGGCGGUGUCAUGGGGGCCGCGACUAUACCAUUGAUUCGUUAUGCUGGUGUUUUCUCUGGAUCAAAAAAGGCAUAAAAAUGAGCUGAUGUUGACGAUAACGGCGGAACAUUUCAAAUGUCACGGAAAUAUCAAAUAAAAUAUGUUCAAGUUAUCAUAAUCUGUAUUUUUUUUAUUAUCCAUGUGACACUGUUUAUAUUUUGUAAACACUAUUUACGUAUAUUUGAAGAACCAACGAAAUUGAAGAGUUCCAAUUGGCCUACAUGCCAGAGGCCAGGUGUAAUCAAGGCCCCAGUCACCGAAUAAAAGAAAACGAGUUCGCAGUUUGAAAUAAAUUUAAGUUGAUGGAUGUAAAAUUGAUUGUAGAAGAUCAUAAUUGAAACAUUUUUCAAAAAUCCAUGUAACAGAAAUAAAAUUUGGGCCAAAGUUUAACUUUGUCCUCAACCCGUGGAAAGGAAAAAUGAGAACCACUGCAAUGGCGAUCCUUUUCGACAAGACUUGUUUAAUUAACGCACAGUAUUGAAAAUUCGAUAAAAUGGCUACUCCGUGCAUAUUCUAAUGGACUAGGAUAUUUCGUCAUUCAAACUUUAAAUACGAAAUAAACUCAUUGAUUUAAUGGCAUCUGUCCUGGAGAUUAUUGCUUAUCUUGUAAUUGUUGCAAUAUUAUGGGGAGUUACAAAUCCGUUGUUGAAAAAAGGUGCUACAGGUAUAGACGAUGUAAAGGCGUCGUCGACGUCUGGGAAAUUUCUCCGUGAAGUGUACUUUUUGGUUACGAACCUCAAGUAUAUGAUACCCUUUCUCGUGAAUCAAUGUGGCUCCCUUCUGUAUGUUAUGACACUGCAAAGUGCAGAUUUGUCAUUGGCGGUGCCUGUCACAAAUUCUUUGACAUUUGUGGUUACGGCCAUGGCUGGUUGGAUUUUUGGGGAAGAGAAACCACAUAAAAAUGUCUACAUUGGAAUUCUUAUGAUCAUAGCAGGGACGACAAUAUGUUGUCUCGACAAACUAAAUAAUGAGAACAGUAUUGUGACUGCAUACUAAAAUUAUGGAAAUAACUUAUUCAGCAGUGUGAAAUGAGAUAGACAAAGAAGCAGGAAAAUUUCAAAUGAUCUUUCAAAGUCGUUGAUCGACCAAAGAGAAAAACAAAUUGAAAGUUGAGAAAUUCUGUACUGGUUGCAAAAAGGAUUGAACUCAAUAUCUAAUAAGGCGAUAGAGUUACAAAAUGAAGGUUUGUUUCUGGCGUUUCAGGCAUUUGAGGUGCAUUUUUCGCUCGUUCUAGGAAUAAUAUAGAUACUCGUUAAUUGAAUGGUAAAUAUGAAUGUAUAUAAAUUUACUCGUUAAAUCGAUAUAAAGAGAAUUGGUUAAGAAUUUA